AUACAGGCUUUGAGCAAAAGAAUUCAUCUAUAUUUACCAGAGAGAAAACAAAACGCUGAGAGUUUUCAACCAGAUGAAGUGUAGUUUGUGAGCCGUUAUCCCGAAAUAGGAGUAAGGAUAACCGGAAAUUUUAAUUCCGUUAAAAAAGAAGUAAGUGGGGUUUAAAAGCCCAAAUUAGGUGGUACCGCGAAGCAUAUUCGUCCUUUUG
Molecule: non-coding RNA, 208 nt
Filed under: Pediococcus cellicola
Lineage: Bacteria; Bacillati; Bacillota; Bacilli; Lactobacillales; Lactobacillaceae
Description: T-box sequence
Rfam family: T-box leader
About the family: Uncharged tRNA acts as the effector for transcription antitermination of genes in the T-box leader family. T-boxes are found upstream of many aminoacyl-tRNA synthetase genes and some amino acid biosynthetic genes usually in Gram-positive bacteria.
Source: RNAcentral